Non-coding RNA from Punica granatum (pomegranate), 675 nucleotides. NCBI's taxonomy places the organism in Eukaryota, Viridiplantae, Streptophyta, Magnoliopsida, Myrtales, Lythraceae. The record is from RefSeq and is a predicted model, not a curated record.
UUGUUCCUUUCCUUUCCUGUUUGCUCUGUUUUUCGGGCUGGGAAAAAAAAUUGAAGAAGGAACAGAGGACAACAGAGGGAGAAAGAGAGCAUACGAGAGCAAGCUAGAGGAAGAUGGAUUCAGAGGGGGCCUCUAGGGGGAAGAAACGAGCAUAGAGCUCGUAAUAGAGCUGAGCCCAGGGAGGAGGAAGGAAUAAUCGAGUGGAUAAUUGGGGCAGGGCAGCAGAUUGAGAGUUGAGUGAGUAGGGGGAAAUGGGGGAGCACUAAGAGGAAGAGUUUAAGCUUAUAAUUGGGGGCUGAGGACACCAAUAUUAUGCAUCCUGAAAGUCAAGUUUGAUGAAUCAUUUUGGGUGUUUGAUAAGCUUCCGAUGGCUCGGAUAAAUCACUUUUUGAUAUCGGGGAUCAGCUUGGAGGACUAGGUAGGAACCUUAGCCAUUUGAUAGAUAUCCUUUUUGUACAGAAUAAUGGACUUGAGAAUGUUACGACCUGAAACUUUUGUCUAGCUGGUUUAGCAAUGUAGCUUUGCAAAAAUCGUACUUAUAUAAAUAUAUAUGUGAGAGCAGUUGUAGUAGUUAUAUGCUUUUGAGAGUUAUGGAAAGCAGAUUUUAUAUGAACAGUUAUGAUGGAUUGGUUGUAUACUUUGGAAAUUUAUGAGAAGUAAAUUUUUAUGUGAAAA